RNAcentral lists this long non-coding RNA (1387 nucleotides) under Sorghum bicolor (sorghum). Its description in RNAcentral is "long non-coding RNA (SBIC_LNC006878)". The record is from RNAcentral. Lineage: Eukaryota; Viridiplantae; Streptophyta; Magnoliopsida; Poales; Poaceae.
UCCUCUACUGUGUCGAUUGAACCGAGUUAUUGAACCCAUCAUUGAUAUUUGCGUCAUUCAUAUCUGAAAUUUCAGAUUAUGUGUUUAUAUCUUCUUGCUUGUGUUCUUCGAUUCGCUUGCAGGAACAACCUUCUUGGCGAGGUCAAUCAAGUUGUGCUUGGUUGAUAACCAACGCAGCAGUGGUGUAACAGUUGCAGGGUUCAAAUCAUGCUAAUUUGAAGCUGGAUUGCCAAUGUCGAGUUCUCCACAAAUCGAACUUACCGGUUACCUCUCGGAAAAUCAGGCCUGAACCUCAUCAAUUGGUAUCAGAUGUCUCAAAUUUACCGCGAGGUAUAAUCACGUUUGCUCUAGAUUCAUAUUUGUUCAUUGCCUACAAUCCACAAAAACCCAAAAAAUAGUUUAAUUUUCCGCUGUCCUAUCACCUAUUGUGCCUUGCAAUUUCGUUUUCACCUUUGCUUUGUUGAGUUUGUGUCCUAUCACCUAAAGUUGUUGGUUUAGAUUGUGUCCGUCGUCGUAGUUCAAUUGCACCGUUGCUGUUUCUUUGUUUUGCGCUGCUAUCCCAUCCACAUUCCCAAACAACAAGUCGAAGCCACCAUAUUUCUCGACUUGUCCCAGCUAGCCGCCUUGUGUGAUCUCUUGUCGCCGCGCUAACCCUAGAUAGGUUGUCAGCCGCUGUUAUUUUGCCUGCUUCGUAGCCCUCCUUACAUCAUCAGACGAAUAUCUAUUGUUGUUAGUCACAAGGAAGAUUCAUCUUGUGAUCGAGGUUGGAGUUUAGGGACGCUUUGCCUUAACUGCCGCCGUCGCCGCUGUGUUUUGCUCGUUUAUCAGGAAAAUCUGAAAUUUUUACAGCAGUUUCUUGACACCAUUUGGACUCAACCCAAACUAUUUGGUCUCAUCAAAAUUGCCAAAAAAAUUCGGAAAAAUAAAGAAAAAAAUGUCAAGGGUUUUGCAUGCUUUUUAGAGAACUUGCUGAAUUUCUGUAGACCACAUCUGACCUCAAUUGUAGGUGCCAAUUUUUGUGGUUACAUCUUUUGUGAUCCUUGUUCAGAAAAAAUAAUAAAAAAUAGUAAAAAAAUAAUAAAUCUUGAUUCCUACUAAUACCUUUUGAGAAAAUCUAGGAAAAAUUAAGAUAAAGGAAAAAUCUGCCCUAUUGCUUGUUCGCUAAGUUCCUCCCAUCAUACUUUGUUUCACCUUAUUGCGCUACGUCUAGACACGUCUUAGCCAGCAAUAGUAAUUUGUCCUUUAGAUACUUAUUGAACUUAGCUAACUCUGCAUUCGAAUAUUGCUAAUCCUUGCUACUUAUAUUGUGCCUGCCCAAAGCUCCACAUAUACUUCUAUUAGCACAAGUUCAUCUUGCAACUGUUUACCCACGCUCAACAACAGAUUG